CACGUAGUUAGCCGGGGCUUCUUGGUCAGGUACCGUCAUUUCUUUCUUCCCUGCUGACAGAGCUUUACAUACCGAAAUACUUCUUCACUCACGCAGCGUCGCUGGAUCAGGGUUUCCCCCAUUGUCCAAUAUCCCCCACUGCUGCCUCCCGUAGGAGUUUGGGCCGUGUCUCAGUCCCAAUGUGGCCGUCCACCCUCUCAGGCCGGCUACUGAUCGUCGCCUUGGUCGGGCCCCUACCCCGCCAACAAGCUAAUCAGACGCGGGUCCAUCUUACACCACCGGAGUUUUUCACACCGGGCCAUGCGGCCCUGUGCGCUUAUGCGGUAUUAGCACCUGUUUCCAGGUGUUAUCCCCCUGUGUAAGGCAGGUUACCCACGCGUUACUCACCCGUCCGCCACUCGAAUGCCACAUGAUUUCGACCGAAUCGCAUCAGCGUGGCAUUCCCGUUCGACUUGCAUGUGUUAAGCACGCCGCCAGCCGUUCAGUCCUGGAGCCCAAGGUACUACAAACCUCUCU
RNAcentral lists this ribosomal RNA (516 nucleotides) under uncultured Lachnospiraceae bacterium. Its description in RNAcentral is "partial 16S ribosomal RNA". Lineage: Bacteria; Bacillati; Bacillota; Clostridia; Lachnospirales; Lachnospiraceae. The record is from RNAcentral.